UGGGUUACAUGUGUGUGGAGUUUGCAUGUUCUCCCCAUGUCGUCGUGGGGUUUCCUCCGGGUACUCCGGUUUCCCCCCACAGUCCGAAAACAUGCUGAGGCUAAUUAGACUUGCUAAAUUGCCCGUAGGAAUGCAUGUGAGAGUGACUGGUGUGUGAGUGUGCCCUGCGAUGGGCUGGCCCCCCAUCCUGGGUUGUUCCCUGCCUCGUGCCCAUUGCUUCCGGGAUAGGCUCUGGACCCCCCGUGACCCAGUAGGAUAAGCGGUUUGGAAAAUGGAUGGAUGGAUGGAUAGUUUAAUAUGCUGUUGCAGUUAGAUUUCACUUUUUCUAAUCAUGUAGAUGGCAGAAUUUUAUGUGGUGGAAUUUCCUGAGCAGGAAGAAGUAGCAGUGGUGAGCAAACACUGGAUGAAGGGGGAGAAGAAGUGUCCGUGGCCAACAUUUGUUUCGCCAGACAAAAUAAGAAAAGCUGCAACCAAUCAGAAAGUUAUGAGAAAGCCAAGAAAAAUGCCAAGGUGAUAGAAGAGGACUCUUCGUUUUUCAGUGAUCCAAAAUGACAGCUGCAAAGGGGAGAUCGUUGUAGAAGGGUGGCCCUUAUAAAUGGAAAAAAGGCUAAAGAAUAACCAAGGACGUCGGACUGAAUCGCAGACAGCAGACGAAGAAGGCUUCACAGAGACAUUCUGUGAUUUAUUUGACAUUGCUCACCAGAUGCAUUGUCAUUAAUUAAUGCUGAAGAAGGCAAAGCCUUUCUGCUUGCACAACGUGAACAAGGCCGAAAGGGUGUCAUGGCAGGCAUGGAUGCAUCGUCGGUAAAGAAAAAAGCAGAACUGAUCAUUAACCGGAUAAACGCUGUAAGUGGGAAGAAAAACAGAAAGUGGAACUAGAUUUGUUGAACCAAA
Brienomyrus brachyistius is the source of this 894-nucleotide long non-coding RNA. RefSeq lists it as uncharacterized. Lineage: Eukaryota; Metazoa; Chordata; Actinopteri; Osteoglossiformes; Mormyridae. The record is from RefSeq and is a predicted model, not a curated record. The transcript is spliced from 3 exons.